Molecule: ribosomal RNA, 643 nt
Filed under: uncultured bacterium
Lineage: Bacteria
Also listed under: 1 other name
Description: bacterial SSU rRNA
Rfam family: Bacterial small subunit ribosomal RNA
Source: RNAcentral
CGCGGCCUAUCAGCUUGUUGGUGAGGUAAUGGCUCACCAAGGCGACGACGGGUAGCCGGCCUGAGAGGGCGACCGGCCACACUGGGACUGAGACACGGCCCAGACUCCUACGGGAGGCAGCAGUGGGGAAUAUUGCACAAUGGGCGAAAGCCUGAUGCAGCGACGCCGCGUGAGGGAUGACGGCCUUCGGGUUGUAAACCUCUUUCAGCAGGGAAGAAGCGAAAGUGACGGUACCUGCAGAAGAAGCGCCGGCUAACUACGUGCCAGCAGCCGCGGUAAUACGUAGGGCGCAAGCGUUGUCCGGAAUUAUUGGGCGUAAAGAGCUCGUAGGCGGUCUGUCGCGUCGGAUGUGAAAGCCCGGGGCUUAACCCCGGGUCUGCAUUCGAUACGGGCAGACUAGAGUGUGGUAGGGGAGAUCGGAAUUCCUGGUGUAGCGGUGAAAUGCGCAGAUAUCAGGAGGAACACCGGUGGCGAAGGCGGAUCUCUGGGCCAUUACUGACGCUGAGGAGCGAAAGCGUGGGGAGCGAACAGGAUUAGAUACCCUGGUAGUCCACGCCGUAAACGGUGGGAACUAGGUGUUGGCGACAUUCCACGUCGUCGGUGCCGCAGCUAACGCAUUAAGUUCCCCGCCUGGGGAGUACGG